This 77-nucleotide transfer RNA is filed under the name Bacillus sp. M6-12. RNAcentral describes it as "tRNA-Met". It matches the Rfam family "tRNA". From Rfam's summary of the family: Transfer RNA (tRNA) molecules are approximately 80 nucleotides in length. Their secondary structure includes four short double-helical elements and three loops (D, anti-codon, and T loops). Lineage: Bacteria; Bacillati; Bacillota; Bacilli; Caryophanales; Bacillaceae. The record is from RNAcentral.
GGACUCUUAGCUCAGUAGCGUAGAGCACUCGGCUCAUAACCGAGCGGUCACUGGUUCGAUUCCAGUAGAGUCCAUCA